AGGGGUCUCUGUGGAAACCAUGGCCGGUAGCAGCCUCUGUGCCUGUCUUCUGGGCUCAAGAGUCGUCCUAUAAACCUCAGCUCGGUGUGGGCAGACAAUGAAAACAAGAAACCCACUGCAAUCCCCAAGAAACCCAGUGCUGGGGAUGACUUUGACUUAGGAGAUGCUGUUGUUGAUGGAGAAAAUGAUGACCCACGACCACCGAACCCACCCAAACCGAUGCCAAAUCCAAACCCCAACCACCCUAGUUCCUCCGGUAGCUUUUCAGAUGCUGACCUUGCGGAUGGCAUUUCAGGUGGAGAAGGAAAAGGAGGCAGUGAUGGUGGAGGCAGCCACAGGAAAGAAGGGGAAGAGGCCGACGCCCCAGGCGUGAUCCCCGGGAUUGUGGGGGCUGUCGUGGUCGCCGUGGCUGGAGCCAUCUCUAGCUUCAUUGCUUACCAGAAAAAGAAGCUAUGCUUC
RNAcentral lists this small RNA (459 nucleotides) under Pan troglodytes (chimpanzee). RNAcentral's name for it is "processed transcript". The record is from RNAcentral. Lineage: Eukaryota; Metazoa; Chordata; Mammalia; Primates; Hominidae.